RNAcentral lists this transfer RNA (72 nucleotides) under Candidatus Tremblayella princeps. RNAcentral's name for it is "Candidatus Tremblaya princeps tRNA-Val(CAC)". It matches the Rfam family "tRNA". Rfam says of the family: Transfer RNA (tRNA) molecules are approximately 80 nucleotides in length. Their secondary structure includes four short double-helical elements and three loops (D, anti-codon, and T loops). Lineage: Bacteria; Pseudomonadati; Pseudomonadota; Betaproteobacteria. The record is from RNAcentral.
AGGCCUGUAGCUCAGCGGUAGAGCACUACCACCACGGGGUAGUGGGCGGUGGUUCGACCCCAACCAGGCCUA